Long non-coding RNA from Brassica napus (rape), 1531 nucleotides. RefSeq lists it as uncharacterized. The record is from RefSeq and is a predicted model, not a curated record. The transcript has 3 exons. NCBI's taxonomy places the organism in Eukaryota, Viridiplantae, Streptophyta, Magnoliopsida, Brassicales, Brassicaceae.
CACCAGUUAUUUACAUCUACGAUGUUUUCAUAUUAAUUUUGAAGUAUAAAAUCUAUUGUUUUUAUCUGUAGGUACAUAUAUAGUAUGGUAUGAAUAAUAAACAAUAGAGAGUGAGAACAAAGCAGUAUAGUGUUAAAGCUUUAGAAUUUGUAGAAAGAGAAGAUGAUGUACAACACUUUAUAUGACUAUGUAUGCUAUGAAAUUUCCAUCUUCAAACUCUCUCAUCUCAUUAUAAUAUGCAAUUUUUUUCUUACAACCCUCUUCUUAUCCCGAUCCUCGAUCAAUAUGCAUUUCUUAUGAAUUGAAUUGUUUGGUAAAUUUUUCAUAUGAGAACACAUCAUGGUUUAUACAACAAUUGCUCCUCGGAACAAAGUGCAAGAAAUUAUUAUCAACAUUAUGGAAAUUGUAAGUGGCAACAAUAUUCGAAAUCGAAACAAAGAGCUUCCAUCUUCGAAUCAAUUGGAGUACCUAAUUGACGAAUGGGGGAGGAGGAAGAGAAGAAGAAUCGGCGAUGGAGUUCUUCGAUCAAACCGCCGAGCUCUUUUUUCGAAGGAAUGGAAAGAGGAGAAACGAGAAAUGGACAAGCCGGAGCUAGAGAUAAAUGCAAAAGACGUUGGAGAAUACGCCGGAGAUUGCCACCAUUUGGUUUUCUGCAUCUCUUUUAUGGUAUUUUUUUCGGUCAUUUCUCCUUAGAAUUAAUUGCAGGAGAAAAUCAUAUGAUGGGCAUGUGCCAAUAUUUGAGAACAGUUCCCAUUUUAACCUUCAUGCGUUAAAUCAAAAGUAAAAUGUACACUUUUUUUUUAAUUAGAAAUUGCAAAUUCAUCCUUGACUGCUCCAUUAUUACUAAUUCUCUCCAAGUUCUCUCUCUAUCUCUUGCCUGGUCGUUCUAUCGCCGCCGUAACUAACUAACGAUGCUGUCAUCUGAAGCCUAGAUUUUGGCUGGGAAAGACGCUGGUGGUUUGGAGGAGGAGAAUUCAAGGAAUCUGUUCUUGAGGGUUACAAUUUUGGUUUUGUCAGAGGUGUUUCCAGUGCGCUGGCCUUACUCCCUGAGGAGGUAAAAGAGAAUCUGAUUGAUGAAGAGGAAGCGAGAGACAAGUUUCAGAAAUUACAUAAUUCCAUUGCAUGCUCUCUCAACAGAUAACGCAAUCAAGUUGCUCUAUGAAGUAAAGGAAGGGGAGUUGGAGAAGAGGGGCGUGACUCUGUCUUGGGGACCUUAAUUUGUUUCUGAGCUAACUUCUCUUCUUGAAAAAUCUUCUAAGAUUGAACUUGAAGUGAGCUGCAAGGAUUUGCGGAAAAGUUAAGGAUGCUUGUGAUUUGCUUUCUUCUGUUGUUCGUCCAGUCUUACUUGUAGUUGAACCUUGUCAUUGACCAUAUAUGCAUAUAAUCUUCUGUCAGUUCAUUGUACAUUAUAUCUUGUUGGGUUCUGUCAAGUUGAUCCAUAUCUGGAUUUUCAUGUCAUUUUCUAUUUUGAAAGAAAUGUACUAGGAAGAGGUGUUGUUUUCACACGUUGGACAAAUGUUUUGUUGCUUCU